GACGAACGCUGGCGGCGUGCUUAACACAUGCAAGUCGAACGGGAGUAUCAAAGAAGCUUGCUUUUAAGAUACUUUAGUGGCGGACGGGUGAGUAACGCGUGAGGAGCUGUCCUAUGCAGGGGGACAACAGUUGGAAACGACUGCUAAUACCCCAUAAGCCGAGAGGUAAAAGGAUUUAUCCGGCAGAGGAGGUACUCGCGUCCUAUCAGCUAGUAGGUGAGGUAACGGCUCACCUAGGCGAAGACGGGUAGCCGGCCUGAGAGGGCGAACGGCCACACUGGAACUGAGAUACGGUCCAGACUCCUACGGGAGGCAGCAGUGGGGAAUAUUGGGCAAUGGGGGCAACCCUGACCCAGCGACGCCGCGUGGGUGAAGAAAUCCUUCGGGAUGUAAAGCCCUGUUGUAUGGGAAGAGCAGAAGACGGUACCAUACGAGGAAGCCCCGGCAAACUACGUGCCAGCAGCCGCCGUAA
This 472-nucleotide ribosomal RNA is filed under the name uncultured bacterium. RNAcentral's name for it is "partial 16S ribosomal RNA". It matches the Rfam family "Bacterial small subunit ribosomal RNA", at positions 28 to 523 of the family's 1533-position model. The record is from RNAcentral.